GGAUGUCGCCAAGUGGUUAAGGCACCAGAUUUUGAUUCUGGCAUCUCGUAGGUUCAAAUCCUGCCAUCCC
Molecule: transfer RNA, 70 nt
Filed under: bovine gut metagenome
Rfam family: tRNA
About the family: Transfer RNA (tRNA) molecules are approximately 80 nucleotides in length. Their secondary structure includes four short double-helical elements and three loops (D, anti-codon, and T loops).
Source: RNAcentral